This 585-nucleotide ribosomal RNA is filed under the name uncultured bacterium. RNAcentral describes it as "partial 16S ribosomal RNA". It matches the Rfam family "Bacterial small subunit ribosomal RNA", at positions 355 to 1375 of the family's 1533-position model. The record is from RNAcentral.
UGGGGAAUUUUGGACAAUGGGCGAAAGCCUGAUCCAGCAAUGCCGCGUGUGUGAAGAAGGCCUUCGGGUUGUAAAGCACUUUUGUCCGGAAAGAAAUCCUUGGCUCUAAUACAGUCGGGGGAUGACGGUACCGGAAGAAUAAGCACCGGCUAACUACGUGCCAGCAGCCGCGGUAAUACGUAGGGUGCAAGCGUUAAUCGGAAUUACUGGGCGUAAAGCGUGCGCAGGCGGUUUUGUAAGACGGAUGUGAAAUCCCCGGGCUUAACCUGGGAACUGCAUUCGUGACUGCAAGGCUAGAGUAUGGCAGAGGGGGGUAGAAUUCCACGUGUAGCAGUGAAAUGCGUAGAGAUGUGGAGGAAUACCGAUGGCGAAGGCAGCCCCCUGGGCCAAUACUGACGCUCAUGCACGAAAGCGUGGGGAGCAAACAGGAUUAGAUACCCUGGUAGUCCACGCCCUAAACGAUGUCAACUAGUUGUUGGGGAUUCAUUUCCUUAGUAACGUAGCUAACGCGUGAAGUUGACCGCCUGGGGAGUACGGUCGCAAGAUUAAAACUCAAAUGAAUUGACGGGGUCAUAGCUGUUUCCU